Molecule: long non-coding RNA, 3535 nt
Filed under: Sus scrofa (pig)
Lineage: Eukaryota; Metazoa; Chordata; Mammalia; Artiodactyla; Suidae
Description: lncRNA (ENSSSCG00015037727.1)
Source: RNAcentral
CUGUACCCCAACCCCAGCCUGAUGGUUCUGUCUUUCUCUUCAUUUCACUUUCUGGGGCUCCAGUUUGUUUGUUCCUUGUUCCACCUCCAGGAAAUAGGCCUGGCACUUUGGGAAAGUCCCCACUUAGAGGAGAGACCCUGGGCUUUGUUUGCUUGGGGACGGAGGGAGGGAGGAGGGAGCCUGGGUCAGGACCACACCCCCUCUCCUUCCCCUCUGGGUAGGUCUCAUGGCCUGGGACCACCUGGGCUGGUGCUGGAAGGACAGGACAAAUAGGCCACCCAGGGGCUCUGGCAGAGUAGAGAGGACUCUGCAAAACCUAGGUUCUGACUCCCACCGUCUGGAUUUGAAUCCUGAUUCCAUCAUGCCCUUUUCUGUGACUUUGAGAAGAUGCCUCAUCUCUCAGAUGUUCUUCAUGAAAUAUGAGAGGAAGAUACCAUCUACCUCCCGGCCUGGUAGAGAGGGUUCGAGACUGACUGCAGGUGUGGAAUGGUCAGUAGGGAACCAAGCACAUAGGAGGCACUUUUGUGUUAGGGCCUUGCCGCUCCCAGCAGGCCUCCUCCAGUAAGGGUGAGGGCAGAGGGGGUGGCAUAAAGCAAGAGGAUCUCAGUAAACAUCCCAGGUGAUUGGGACAGGGAGCACCCAGCUCAAGGGAUGGAAGGUGACAGCUGACUGCAUGUAGAGAAGGCAGCAAGAUUGGAGAACAGGCAGCACGUGGGUACAGCAGCCAGCAGUCAUUCAACAAACCCUUGCUGAUGCUGGCCUGGUGCUGGCUGCUGUGGACUCAGAAAUAAAUCAGCCCUGAGCCUUUCCUUGUGGGUUCCCCAGGCUGGGGUGAUUCAUUCUCUCACAGAAGGGCAAAUAGUGUUUAGGAUGAUGUUGCAAUUUCAGACUCAGUGAACACUGAAAGGGCCCCUAAGGACAGACCUGCCAGUCCUUCAGCUGGUUUAUUUGUGUUUUGCUAACAUUUACAGAGCACAUAUGACAUGCCAUGCAACCCCUGAGUAUGUUAUAUGUGUCGUGUCAUUUUUUCCUCAUUUUAUGAAGAGGAUAUGAGGCCCAGAGAGUGGAAGUGACUGGUCCCAGGUCACACAGCUAGAACAUGGAAGAACUGGGAUUUAAUACAGAAUCUGCCACUGGCCCCCCAGCAAUUCUUUUUCUCCAGACUCAGGCCUCAUGAGAAAACUGGCAAAGACAGGCUGGCUCUUUCCAUGAUGCUAUGAUGUUGAAAGAUCCUGUUUGUCCUAUUUAAGAAGGUGGGAAAGCACCUUUGAACCUCUUUUAAUGGGUUAUUUUGUCAAAUAGUUUUAGAAUGACUCCAUAUAUCCAUAAUUUGUAAAAAUAAUUUUAACUUCAUCUCAAUAAUUUCACAAAAUAUCCCAUCAAAAGAGGUGCAAAGGACUAUGAUUAUUUAUUUAUUGUUGUUACAUGUAUGUGAUACAUCGGUAAUAUAGGGUAUUUGCUUUUUUUUUUUGUUGUUUUUUUAGGGCCAUACCUGAGACUUUAUGGAAGUUCCCAGGCUCGGGGGUAGAAUAGAAGCUACAGCUGCCAGCCUACACCACAUCCACAGCAAUGCUGGAUCUGAGCCACAUCUGCGGCCUACACACUAGCUGAAGGCAACACCGGAUCCUUGACCCACUGAGCCAAACCAGGGGUCAAACCUGUGUACUAGUCGGAUUUGUUUCCACUGCACCACGACAGGAACUCCCAGAAUAUUUCUUUUUUAAAUUCAGAGGAAUGAGUGGUAUUAAUCCAGAAUCAAAAUCAUUAUAUUAAAAUGGGACAUUGGGGAAAUAACUCUUAAAAAAAUAAUAAUAAAAUAAAACGGGGAGACUAGUUAGCUUCGGUCAUAUACACAAUUUGUAAGAAAUUCUGAGGAUGAAAAGACAUGAGAUCAUGCAUGUUAGGGAAGAAGGUGCAAAUCAUGUCAUAGGUAGAAUUAGAAUAUAUUGAAUCAGUAGAAUCAGUUACUUAUGAUCGUAGUAAAAUUAUUGUCGGGUUAAGAACCCAGCUAGUAUCCAUGAGGAUGCAGGUCAAUCUCUGGCCUUGCUCAGUAGGAUAAGGGUCCCGAGUUGCUGCGAGCUGUGGUGUAGGUCGAAAAUAUGGCUCAGAUCCCACAUUGCUGUGGCUGUGGCAUAGGCUGGCCGGUGCAGCUCCAAUUUGACCCCGAGCCUGGGAACUUCCAUAGGCCAUGGGUUAGGCCCUUAAAAAAAAGAGAAAAAUUGGGGGGGGGGGAUGUUUUAAAUGGCACAAUGGAGAAGGCACAUUUUUUGUUUGUUCGUUUGUUUGUUUUUAGGGACUGCAGGUGAGGUAUGUGAAAGUUCCCAGACUAGGGGUCUGAUCAGAGCUGUCGCUGCUGGCCUUCACCACAGCCACAGAAACGCAGGAUCUCAGCCGCAUCUGUGACCUACACCACAGCUCACAGCAAUGCUGGAUCCUUAACCCACUGAGAAGGGCCAGGGAUAGAACCCACAUCCUCAGGGAUACUAGGUGGGUUUGUUUCCACUGAGCCAUGACGGGAACUCCCGACAUACUAGGUUUUAGAUGUAGUUGGCUUUAGUUUUACAAAAGUCCCUCUCAUCCCUGCCAUAUAAAGGAGGUGUUCUUUCUAUGUGAUUCGCCUGUUUCCGCGAAUGAAGGGGGUUGUGCGUGGGUUCCACGUGGUGUCCCUGUUCCCUUUCCACCCCCUAGAACCAAAGGCUGGGAAGUAAAUCCUCCAAGAACAGAGAUGUCUUUCCUUUUCUUCCCUUUUCUCCAGUGCCUGGACCAGUGCCUGGCACCUAGUGUGCCCUCAGUGAAUGUGAGAUGAAUGAAAGAAUGCAUAGAAGAGUGAGCCACCAGGGGAAGGGUGCAGAGCAGAGCAUUUGGGCCCUGUGGGACCUGCACCUGUCUGGGCCUGGAGAUGGGACAGGAACACCCUUAGCUGCGUGGGGAGGCCCGGCCUUCUAGACAAAACCCCCUUCCCUCUGCCCUGCCCCACCUAUUCUGCUCUAGCUACCCAUUCGCCCCACCACCCUGGGGCCACUGUAACCAACCACCUGGCCCCAGAGGCGGGUCUCAGCCCAGCCUCACCCCUCCCAGCCAUUGACCAGAAACAGCAGCAGCCUGCAGUGGAUGGAGACAUUCAGAGAAGCCAACGUGGAAAGGGCACACGGGAGGCGUUCAUUCAGCUCACCUGCUUGUCUUCUGUCCCCCUCUUCCGUUCCUCACCUUCUGGAAGAGUAAAAAGACCAGGCCAAAGCAGCAGGGCCACCUGGUCAAGUCAUCCAUGCCUCUGCCUCCACGCCAGCCCGACCCGACUCCACUCUCAUGUCUGGGCCAGGCCGGACCCCCGCUGGGCCAGGCCCCAGGGAGGUAGCCUUUCAAGGGGAGAGAGGCCCGGGCUGCAGGCCGGGUGGGGGAGCUGCCCAUAAAUCAGGCCCCACUCCCACCCAGUCGCUAACAAGCGGGGCUGGCUACCCGCCUACGUGGGGUCCCUGCCUCUGGGCUCCCACAGCGGCCUGGAACAGCCAGCUGGCCAAGGCCUCCAGAGUGCCUU